AGGGAUUUAGCUUAGUGGCUUAAGCACCUGCCUGGUAGGCAGGAGGUUGUGAGUUUGAUUCCUA
Molecule: transfer RNA, 64 nt
Filed under: Cavia porcellus (domestic guinea pig)
Lineage: Eukaryota; Metazoa; Chordata; Mammalia; Rodentia; Caviidae
Rfam family: tRNA
About the family: Transfer RNA (tRNA) molecules are approximately 80 nucleotides in length. Their secondary structure includes four short double-helical elements and three loops (D, anti-codon, and T loops).
Source: Rfam by way of RNAcentral